AUAGACAGUGUCUUCCUUGCUCAACAAGGCCUCGAGGCUUUUUUCCUGUAUUUCUGAGGGCCUAACCCUUCUCCCAGGGCAGAGUUGAGAGGCUUAUAUGAGAGGUUUCUGGAAGGGCAGGCUCAGUAUCUGACACUGACAGUGUCUCUUGGCCUGGGAUCGCCUGAGGGCCCUGUGAAGCUUCAGAGCAGUGCCUGAAACACUCUGAGGACAGAAACUCAGGGACCAACACACCUGUUUCCACAGAGCUGGCCCCUGCCUCUGCUUCCUGGAAGCACUGCAAGAGUGCCUGCAGUUAUAGCCGGGAGAUGACCACAGUGAGAAGCCAGAGAAGAGGUAAACAGCAACCUUGGGCAAGCAGGAAGGCAGAAGCAGAUGCUUGGAACCACCCAGAGGUUUUCUACCACAGAAUGUGUAACUUUGAUUUUCACACACAAAAUGGUCUCAACAGUGGUUGAAAUAUACAAAAACAGAAACCCCAAUCCAGCCCUUAGCCUGAUGCUCUGCAUGCUGUUAAGAAGGGGGUGUUGAAUGAUUCCAUUUAUUUGAAAUACCCAGGAGAGGGAGAAGGUUCAUUUGAGAACUUCCCCUGCUGAAGCUUUCCCUGACCCUCUGGGAGGGGCCGGACCCUCCGUCUGUGGUCCCACAACCCCUGAGGAGGAGGAGGCACUCAUCAGGUCCCUUGGCGCCUUGCAGCCCUUUUCUUGGGCCUGCCUUUUACCUCCAUCCUCCACUCCACUGAUGGCUCAGAGCCCAGAAUCCUGUCUUCAUCCUGGCAACAGUCCCUUCAGGGCCCAGCAGGAUGGGGGAAUGAAUAAAUGUGCCUGUUUCUGAACAUAAUCAUUAAAUUCUUUACCUGUAAUGUGGACAUUAAAGGUGAAUCAUUUCCCCCCUUAAA
Long non-coding RNA from Homo sapiens (human), 898 nucleotides. RefSeq lists it as uncharacterized. The transcript is spliced from 3 exons. Lineage: Eukaryota; Metazoa; Chordata; Mammalia; Primates; Hominidae. The record is from RefSeq and is a predicted model, not a curated record.